UACGAGGGGGGCGAGCGUUGUUCGGAAUUAUUGGGCGUAAAGGGUGCGUAGGCGGUUUGGUAAGUCUUGUGUGAAAUCUUCGGGCUCAACUCGAAGUCUGCAUGAGAAACUGCCGGGCUCGAGUAUGGGAGAGGUGAGUGGAAUUUCCGGUGUAGCGGUGAAAUGCGUAGAUAUCGGAAGGAACACCUGUGGCGAAAGCGGCUCACUGGACCAUAACUGACGCUGAUGCACGAAAGCUAGGGGAGCAAACAGGAUUAGAAACCCCGGUAGUCC
Molecule: ribosomal RNA, 273 nt
Filed under: uncultured Acidobacterium sp.
Lineage: Bacteria; Pseudomonadati; Acidobacteriota; Terriglobia; Terriglobales; Acidobacteriaceae
Description: partial 16S ribosomal RNA
Rfam family: Bacterial small subunit ribosomal RNA
Source: RNAcentral